AUGAGACAGAGAAUGAGCUUCAUGGGUGGCUACUCGUUUGAAAUCGUUUUGCUUUUUGGCUGGUGCGAGCGAAUCUUCAAGCAGGCCUAAGGGGCAGAGAGGACUAUAUAUAGAGUGUCGCUUGUUCAUGGAAGGAGCAAAAUUGUUUGUCCAUUCAACAAGAAAAUCACACAUCUUCUUGAUCUGGUUUCUGUGUUUCUAAGUGCUCUCGCUUGAAAAUGGAAGUCCAGGCGGUUGCCCAAUACGCAGCUUUUGCUGGAGACACCGUGGUGAAGUUGUCCAAAUACGUUGUCUUUAAAGGAGACAACGAUACUUAUCUUGCAGCUUUUUGGACUGAAUCCCAUAAGUAUCUUCAGUUCAACACGACUGAUAUCGGCAGUGGAAACGGUGGAGGUGACGGUGAGGGGUGUUCAUGCCAAGUACGAUGUCCAAUUCUCUUACACCCAAGUAGACCUGCUUACUACGGGAGAAACGGUUGAGACUCUAAAAAAGUAUGGCGUUUUCAGCAGGGUCAAUACCACGGACAUUAAGUUCGAAGUGCGUUCUCUCUGAGUUGUUAAAAUGGAGGACAGAGGCAUCAGAGGUUGGAGGUUAAUAAGCGAUCUUUCGUCAGUCAUCAACGAAAGGGUCCCGCAUCAUGAGGAAGCAGCUAACAGCCGUGAUCUUUUGACUAUGGAGAUCCUCUGAUUGAUCAGUAUGUUCACUUGGCAAUUAUGAUCAUGUGCAACAAGAUCCAAAUAGCAAGAUCUAGACAUUGGUAUGCAGUUGUAUGUGAUUUAUUUUGUUUUCAGUGUUCUUAUGUAGUGUGAAUAAAUGGAAAUUUCACAUUGUAGGAUACAUAACAUCAAUGUUCCAUUUUCAUAUUGUGGGGUGACAGUGUUUGAGAUUAGGUGACAAUGGUGGACAAUGAUUGCAAAUGAGAAAAACAUUUGAUUCUCAUAAAUGUAAUGUGAAAUUGUUUCA
Molecule: long non-coding RNA, 963 nt
Organism: Cryptomeria japonica (Japanese cedar)
Lineage: Eukaryota; Viridiplantae; Streptophyta; Pinopsida; Cupressales; Cupressaceae
Exons: 2
Source: RefSeq, a predicted model, not a curated record